GGGGAAUAUUGCACAAUGGGGGAAACCCUGAUGCAGCAACGCCGCGUGAGCGAUGAAGGCCUUCGGGUCGUAAAGCUCUGUCUUCGCUGACGAUAAUGACGGUAAGCGAGGAGGAAGCCACGGCUAACUACGUGCCAGCAGCCGCGGUAAUACGUAGGUGGCAAGCGUUGUCCGGAAUUAUUGGGCGUAAAGGGUGCGUAGGCGGUUUUUUAAGUGGGAUGUGAAAUACUAGGGCUCAACCUUAGAAUUGCAUUCCAAACUGGAAGGCUAGAGUGCAGGAGAGGAAAGCGGAAUUCCCAGUGUAGCGGUGAAAUGCGUAGAGAUUGGGAGGAACACCAGUGGCGAAGGCGGCUUUCUGGACUGUAACUGACGCUGAGGCACGAAAGCGUGGGGAGCAAAC
Molecule: ribosomal RNA, 400 nt
Filed under: uncultured bacterium
Lineage: Bacteria
Description: bacterial SSU rRNA
Rfam family: Bacterial small subunit ribosomal RNA
Source: RNAcentral